RNAcentral lists this long non-coding RNA (2367 nucleotides) under Lactuca sativa (garden lettuce). RNAcentral describes it as "long non-coding RNA (LSAT_LNC000109)". Lineage: Eukaryota; Viridiplantae; Streptophyta; Magnoliopsida; Asterales; Asteraceae. The record is from RNAcentral.
CACCAAACAACUAUUUUUUUUAUAGCAAUGUUUUUUUCACUAAAAAGUCUGGAAAUGCUACAAAUGAUGUUGCUAAUAGAUGAGAGGAUUUUAGUAAUUCCAAGAUUGAAUCUAUUUUUUGUGUUCCAAAAGACUGGUGACAUAAAGUUUAGCAAAAGUUAGUACAUAUAAUCUUCAACUCAUAGCUAACCCAAAGAGAGUAAUGGUCUAAAUUGCAUGUGAAGCUCCAGCUUGGAUCAAAAAAUCAAGAGCCAAUUAAGCAUAAAAUCAACAAGUAAAUGUUAAUGCAAUGUUUACUCUAGAAACACAAUUUUUUAUCUGUAAGAUCUCAUUAACAACUACCAAUUCUUGAUUUCGUUUUUCAAAUUUACAAUGAGAUUUAAAUAACUACCAACAAAACUUGAACAAAACAAAUAAAUACAAACCAAAAAAAACAAACAACCGUAACAUCUUUAUCAAACAAAAGCAUAACUUUAUCUCAUGAUUCAUGCCUGUUUUUUCAAAAAAAAACAUCAAGGGCAAAAUCGUCCAACUUCACAUAUCUCAUCAAAUUUGCCCUCACUCAAAACAACCGAUCAACAUUUUUUUGAACAACUGAUCUACAUAACAACUUAUUUUCAACAUGGGACCAUUUGGACCUAUACAAAUUUACAUCUAAAAUUAAGACAAAACUCAGUAAACAACAAAAGUUUAAAAAGGAUGAAAACCCAAUAACAUAAAGAUUGAAACAAACAUUAAAAGUUUAAAUCAUUUUAGCCACUAAUAUUUAGACUUCUAAUUUGACAAAUAAAAACUGGCUCCGCAACAUUUAGAACGUUAAAGAACUAAAUCCAGUAAAGAAUAACUUACAACACCAUUUGCAAACGUUCAUUCACCAAAACUCUUUUUCUACUUGAGUGGCUGGAUUAAAUUUCGUUUUAGCACCCAUGACUGUUAUAUUGUCAAGAACAGUAUAAUAAUCAGAUUGUGCAUAUUGAAAGACAAAGAAAACAAUAAAAUCAAUCAUGACAGAGAUACAUGUUAAAUGGAUAACUGUAGUAUUUAGAUAAAACUGUGGAGCAAAAAAUAACGCAUGAAAAUUAGAAAAUUAGUUUAUAUAGCACUAAUAUUUGGGAGGCUUCCCGAUAUACAGUUUCAAUUAAAAACAGAACGGAUGGAAAUAAAAAUCCAAAAAAGAUCAAUAAAGUAUGAACAUGUCGUCAAUCUUGGUUCGUCUAACCUGAAAUCAAUCUUGGUUCUUCAACCGAAACAUCAAAAAAUACAAGGAACCAGAAAAUAAAAUUAUAGAGAUCAACAAAUGAAUAAAAUAAAAGCAUCAUACAUAUGUUAUACGUACUAUGCUUACUUAGUCAAUUAGCAAUUGAGGUAGCGAUGACCGAAGAGGGAUGAGAGAGAGAGAGAGAAGGAUUAACAUGCAAAAGGAUAGAUACAGAUAUGGAUGUGUUCAGAUGAUGUGCUAUGGGAGUAGGUGUAACAGAAAACAGACAUCACGAUUGUGCCAACCAAACCUUAAAGUUCGUGCAUGGAGCAACAAAGUCUUUGCAUUCUUCAGUACAAUAGCAAGAAAGAGGCUAAGAUGGCUUGGUUAGAGAGAGAAGUAAGAUAAAGCUCUUGGUCUCAAUGGUAGGUGAUCUUAGCGGCGACAAACGGUGGUGUGAGGUUGUUACUGACAGCCGAAUAGGUGUCGCCAACGGUGAGUUUAGGGCUUUAGAAUUGGAACAGUUUGGUUUGAAGCGGGAUUAGGGUUUCUUUUUGCUUUAAAGGAUGCCGAAGGGAAAUGGAACGUCGGGGAUCCAAGAACCAAGGGCCAUACAGUUUUUUAUAGAGUUUUGAUGUUGUAAGGUGAAGCGUCUAUUUCAUCCUAUGUCCGAUUAGAGUCACUUCCAGCUGUACUCAUACGGACUUGUACCAAAUAGUCUUAAAUUAAGACUCCUCUGCAUUCACAAACAACGAUGAUCCAGAGAGCUUUCCCUACUUUUACUGAAAAAGGGGCCAGGCUUCCGGUGAGUAGCAGCAGCAUCGGUGAGGGCAACAUGUGGCCGAUCAGAAUAAAUGGUUUCAGAGAAACGUUUACAGAAAAAACAACAUAGGAAUCACAUUUGAAAGAGAGAUAGAGAGAUUUAAACAUCUUAACCUUCGUCAUUGGCCAUGAUAGAGGGAUUAGCAAUAUGGGUCGCCUCGACAGUGGCAGGCUUGGCGGCGGAGUUAGCUGGAUGGUGGUGGUUUUUUAGGUAGUGGUUAUUGUUGAGGACCCGGCAGCAAAGCCGCGAAGGCAAAAGAUUGUGGGUACUGUGGGAGCGUGAGGGUUAGAAAUGUUAUUAGGGUUUUGAUUUAAACGGAAGGGUAGGAGAACGAAGCGUCUAAAAC